GUGCUUGUAGCUAUCCCCAUCGAAUUUGCCUAGGUUGAUACAAAGGUAAAACAUGCGGGAGGAGUAUGAAUGAGGUUGCUAGAAUAAAAAUGUGGUGGGGUUUGGGUACAACUUAAAUACGUGAGGUGACUCUCGAGGUCCGCCUUCUUCCCAACCUUUAUGAGGCUUCGAGCAUGGUUCAUAGAUUGGUUAGUUCCGAGUCCAGCCAAGACUGUGACCAUCCCCAUUCGGGAAAAACAGCAAUAUAAAGAAAGCCAAAAAAGUGAAAAAUG
Molecule: long non-coding RNA, 272 nt
Filed under: Linum usitatissimum (flax)
Lineage: Eukaryota; Viridiplantae; Streptophyta; Magnoliopsida; Malpighiales; Linaceae
Description: long non-coding RNA (LUSI_LNC003701)
Source: RNAcentral